AUGCGAGAGGGUAGACUAGGACGCUGCAGCUCUGAAAAAAAAAAAAAAAAAAAAAAAAAAGAAAGAGGGGAAAAACGCUCUGCUGCUAUUUCUACAGGCGGGCCCUCCCCUUUAGCUAGUCUGUGCCAAAAGAGGGAGGGAUUUUUUACUACUCCCAGUCCCAGGAUUUUAACCCUCUGCCUACUCUCGCUUCUCUCUGCAAGAUCUGCUCCUCAAUAUCAUGCAACAAGUGGCUUUGCUUUACUCCUGCUUCGACAUCUCUGCGCCAUUUGCGAAGACGUUUUUCGGGACCCCUGUUUUCUUCACUCCGCGGCCAUUGAUCACCUGCAUUUGAGAGGAUAUGUGGACAUACUGUGUGCAGCUACCGAAGGAUCCAGCACAAUGAACGGCGGAGAUUUCGCCGCUUUACCCCAGAUAGCUGAUGGCUGUGGUGUGUGUGUGCCAGCUGCCUCAAAGACUCAGUGGGCUCAUUAUUUGGGAAUGACUUUAUUUUUCCCGGUCAGACCUCAAUAUCAAGAACAAGGAAACCCGAGACGAGACGAGCUGACAGAGCUGAGGCCGCCGCUGCAGGGAGGAGGUGACCUGUCAAGCGCAAGUGACAUACAGGAAGUAUUUUGACGGCAUUCUUUGAUUUGCAACAAUUAAGGCAUGGAGAAAUCAUAUCUCAGUUUGUAAAUACAUGGUUGAAUACACCGUUCACUCUGCUGUGCUCCCACAUCAACUUGGCGUUCCUGCAGUUUUCUGAACUGACUUUUACAACAGUUGAAAGUUUGUCAAAAUGAAACUGAAGUUUCAGAGAAUUAGGUGGCCAUGAUUUUAACAGAGUGUAUAUAUAUAUAUAUAUAUAUAUAUAUGUAUAAAUUCAUAAAUUACUUUUUAAUUUCUCCAGUUACUUUAUGAAUAAAAUAUCUACUUAGAGUACAGUCAUAGCAGUAAUACAGUAUUAAUAUAUGAGCAUGGACGUUCAGGCUCCACAUACCAACUCUUUUCCGACCUUUUAACUUCAUCUCACGGCUUUGAUCAGUGAAUGUGUGUUUGAUUUUUCAGUUCUCAGAAAACAGUAGGUAGCCAGGAUUGUUUUAUUACAUUGAAGAGUGUUAGAAUAUUUACACACAUCAUAGAUCAUAACCCAUUUAUAAACGCACACUUAGCAGCUUUUUGGUAGUUUUGUUUCCCGUGUCUUUUCCUUGUUUCCUCAAGGCUGUUUGUCACGUCGAGCUUCUGUUCCACUCAGGUCCACUGUCAACCACGUGGCACAAGAGACCCCUGCGAGAGAUGAACUGUCCUUUGGGGUGAGGUAGUAGGUUGUAUAGUUUUAGGGUCAUUCCCAAGCUGUCAGAUGACUAUACAACUUACUGUCUUUCCUGAAGCGACUGUGCUGGCAUCAUGAUCGUCGUCGUCACAAAAGGAAAAUACGACUUCACUGGAAAAUGUUUGUUUUCUUUUCUCCUUUAAAUUUGUUCCUUACUCAAAAUUGCAUUGAUCAACAACCAAUAUAACUCUUGUUGAUUCCCUUUGUUAAAGUUAGAUGGAAAGGAGGUAACACUGAGGAGGAGCUAGUAAGUUAGAAAGCAGUGUCAGAAAUUAGCUUAAAAUUUGUGCGAGUAAGCUAUCCAUUUUAAUUACCCGACGUUCAUUAGUGUGUAUUUCUGAAAUAUAGACUGUUUGGAUUGUUUGGAAUAUUAAACAGAACUUUUGAGCUUUUUUGCCUACUAAAGUGUUAAUUAAGUAGUCUCUUACUUCAAUUGUACUUAUUAUAAUUGCAAAUGCUUUAACAACACGCCUCCAUUAGCUACUUUUUCUUGUACAGAAAUGCAAGAUUUUAACUCUUGAUGUUAUAAAACUUGCUGUAUUCUCUGUAAGAUCAGCGGAGUAGCUCUGUCUUUGUUUAUACAGUGAUCACAUGUGACCUCUUCACAAACCUUCACAUCCCGAUCCUCCUCCUACCCACCUGGGUGACUUAUGGUGUUCGCACAGGGUGAGGUAGUAGGUUGUGUGGUUUCAGGGUUGUGAUUUUACCCCAUCAGGAGCUAACUAUACAACCUACUGCCUUCCCUGGAGGGCAGCAAUACAUCACAGGAGCGCACAUGUUCUUGUCACCUUUCUGCUUAGGAAAACACUGACUGAUCUCAUGACUCUCGUUUACAAAGCUCAACAGAAGACUUGCGUUUGAUUUGAAAGGUUGCGCUGAAUCGGUGAGUGCUGCUGAGUCACAACAUGCAUUUGUUAGCAACAUUAAUAAUCACCCAACAGAUAUGUAACUGGUGCAAAAAUAAUCAGAAAAUGCUGUUUUUCUAAGCAGCAUUCAUGAUUUACCUUUGUAUUUUUUCAUCAAUAAAUAUUGGAUAAGAAAUCAUUGCAGAACAA
Toxotes jaculatrix (banded archerfish) is the source of this 2367-nucleotide long non-coding RNA. RefSeq lists it as uncharacterized. NCBI's taxonomy places the organism in Eukaryota, Metazoa, Chordata, Actinopteri, Toxotidae. The record is from RefSeq and is a predicted model, not a curated record. The transcript has 4 exons.